AAAGGAAUUGACGGGGGCCCGCACAAGCAGCGGAGCAUGUGGUUUAAUUCGAAGCAACGCGAAGAACCUUACCAAGGCUUGACAUCCUGCUAAGGUCAUGGAAACAUGAAGUCCCUUCGGGGGAGCAGAGACAGGUGGUGCAUGGUUGUCGUCAGCUCGUGUCGUGAGAUGUUGGGUUAAGUCCCGCAACGAGCGCAACCCCUGUUGCCAGUUACCAGCAAGUAAAGUUGGGGACUCUGGUGAGACCGCCGGGGACAACUCGGAGGAAGGUGGGGACGACGUCAAAUCAUCAUGCCCCUUAUGUCUUGGGCUACACACGUGCUACAAUGGCUAUAACAAAGGGAAGCGACAGCGCAAGCUGAAGCGGAUCUCAGAAAAGUAGUCCCAGUUCGGAUCGUGGGCUGCAACCCGCCCACGUGAAGUCGGAGUUGCUAGUAAUCGCGGAUCAGAACGCCGCGGUGAAUACGUUCCCGGGCCUUGUACACACCGCCCGU
RNAcentral lists this ribosomal RNA (494 nucleotides) under uncultured bacterium. RNAcentral's name for it is "bacterial SSU rRNA". It matches the Rfam family "Bacterial small subunit ribosomal RNA", at positions 903 to 1397 of the family's 1533-position model. The record is from RNAcentral.